AUGAGUGCCCGCAUUACUGGUAGGCCUUUACUUCCUGACAAUCCAAAAAUAAAUUUUCCACAUAAGGAAUAUGAGGACCACGUUAAGGUAAUUGAUAUGUCAUUUAAGGUUGCACCCAGUCAGACCGUAUAUUUCAUUGUUGUUUCUUAUUUCCAGAGGUACCCCGAGGAGGCGGAAUUGUUGAACAAGGACAUAUUCAACUUCGAGUGUAUGAAGUGUGUCUGGGGCCCUAUACCAGAGUUGAGGAUGUCGCGGGAUAAUGUUGCAUCGGUGAGGGGUGACGCAAGCUCAAAGAAAGUGAGUGAAGACGAUGAUGAUUUUAUGCCAAGCAAACAAGCUCAGAACAAACGCAAGACUCAUGUUGCAUCUGAGAAGGGUGACGGUAGUUCUAGCAAAGUGAAGAGUGAUGAUGAUGACUUUAUGCCAAGCAAAAAAGCUCAAAAUAGAUCGAAGGGUUGCGCAAGCUCAAAGAGUGGUAGAUCAAGUAACAAUGUAGCAUAA
RNAcentral lists this ribosomal RNA (501 nucleotides) under Triticum aestivum (bread wheat). Its description in RNAcentral is "partial small subunit ribosomal RNA". The record is from RNAcentral. Lineage: Eukaryota; Viridiplantae; Streptophyta; Magnoliopsida; Poales; Poaceae.